Molecule: ribosomal RNA, 164 nt
Filed under: uncultured bacterium
Lineage: Bacteria
Description: partial 16S ribosomal RNA
Rfam family: Bacterial small subunit ribosomal RNA
Source: RNAcentral
UAGGGAAUCUUCCACAAUGGGCGAAAGCCUGAUGGAGCAACGCCGCGUGUGUGAUGAAGGGUUUCGGCUCGUAAAACACUGUUGUAAGAGAAGAAUGACAUUGAGAGUAACUGUUCAGGUAUUGACGGUAUUUAACCAGAAAGCCACGGCUAACUACGUGCCAG